UACGUAGGGUGCAAGCGUUAAUCGGAAUUACUGGGCGUAAAGCGUGCGCAGGCGGUUUGGUAAGACAGAUGUGAAAUCCCCGGGCUUAACCUGGGAACUGCAUUUGUGACUGCCCGGCUAGAGUGUGUCAGAGGGGGGUAGAAUUCCACGUGUAGCAGUGAAAUGCGUAGAUAUGUGGAGGAAUACUGAUGGCGAAGGCAGCCCCCUGGGAUAACACUGACGCUCAUGCACGAAAGCGUGGGGAGCAAACAGG
RNAcentral lists this ribosomal RNA (253 nucleotides) under uncultured bacterium. RNAcentral describes it as "partial 16S ribosomal RNA". It matches the Rfam family "Bacterial small subunit ribosomal RNA", at positions 524 to 776 of the family's 1533-position model. The record is from RNAcentral.